RNAcentral lists this long non-coding RNA (2751 nucleotides) under Homo sapiens (human). RNAcentral describes it as "TRD antisense RNA 1, transcript variant 2 (TRD-AS1)". The record is from RNAcentral. Lineage: Eukaryota; Metazoa; Chordata; Mammalia; Primates; Hominidae.
UUGAGUGAUCACAGUUUUUGAGAAUCAUGAUGAGGCAUUAAAGAAGAGGAGGAGUGUCUCAAGGGAGGUGAGCUGGAGGUGAUGCAAGGUGGAGAGAGGAUGCCAGACAGAUAUUUGAGCAGAACAAAGAGAGCCAACAGGAUGAAGGCAUUCCCUGGCUGGUUGGACAAGCAACUGAAGAACAGGAACAGAAGUGAAUGAAAAGAGAAGAUGCUGUGUUUGUGUUUUCUCUUGGUUAGAAUGCUGUGAGUCAGGACCUUAGCUGCUGGGUGUCCUGGGACUGCCUUCGAUGAAGAACCUGAGGCUCACCUUGCUUAAGUGACUUGAGCAGCUUCACGCAUCUUUCUGACAUUCCAGCAAUACCGGAGCAUUGACAGUUGAUAAUAGCUCUAUGUGCUACCUCUCCAAGAAACAAAUUUGCAUUUUAACCUGCCCCUUCAAUGGCUGAACUUCAAAGGGUCACUGAUGAAUGCCACAGCAGAGAAAACUGCAAAUUGGAACAGCAGAGCUGUGCCUCUGGCCAUUUCCUGGAACUACAGAGGAGCAACUUGCCCCGGUUUCCAGUGGGUGAUGUUCCUCUUCUGCCACAGUCCCUGGCGAUGUUGAUGUGAUUGCCAUCAGAGCUCAGAAGCACAGAGCAGAAUCAUCCCCUGGAGGAGGAUUCCCUUCAGUGUAAGAAGUUCUUACAGAAUUAAUCCUCAAAGACUGUGGGUGGACUCUGCCAGGUUUUUCCCCGGGUGUACCAGAAGAGAGGAAGAGCCCUCAAAUACAGGAAAGUGCUCUUUUCAGUGACAGUAGUUCUUUUGGGCCCUGUGGCUAAGUGUGCUCCCACCCCAGCAGUAAGAUCACAGCUAAUCCUGAGAGGCAAGAGCUCACACCAGGCUACUGAAAGAAAAAGUGUCCUUUGUGGAUUGCAAGAGGAACUGGGACACACUGCUGGAAAUGAAGUGGCAGGUCAUAAACUAUCAUAAACUCAGGAGGAGAGGUGUUCCUUUUUGAGACACUCAUCACAACUAGAGAGAAUGCAGCUAAGAAAAUGCAGUCUUUAGGGGGACCUGGACUGUUGAAGUAUUUGAGCUAUUCGGAGGAAAUAGAAACUUGGAAGAGAUCUUUGUUCCACUAUUAUUUGGCAGCCCCUUACCCGCAGCUGCCAUUACUCCAGAUUCUCUCUGAUGAUCCUGCAUCAGGAGAAUGAGUUGACUGGGCACCACUGGGAAAUGUGGGCAGCUCCAGGCUGAACUAGAGAAGGGGCAUGUCAAAGGUCACUUAUUUGUGGCUUGACCCUUUGGAGGCCAGAUGUAAGAAUCAAUUUCUCACAGGUCCCAUGCUAACGCUUUUCAUAUUUAUUUCCAUCUGAGACUCACUUAGGCUAGGCAAAUAUCCCAUGGGUCUGUACCUCUCCAGUGCUUUCUUGCUCAUGUAAAAUUAGCUCAUUGGAAUGAAUAAAGAGAAUGGUAUUACUUUGGCUCGAACACGAAUGAGCACUUUCACUUUGUCAUAGUGUAAAUAUUAAAGUUGUAAGAGACAGCCCAGGGACCAACUAUUUUUUUUUUAAAGAUCCAAGUGCUUGCAUAGUUUCUAAAAUUCUACACCGGGGAACUAUAUCCUCAUUCAGCACUGAGACUCCUUGGUUCCCUAAAACCAAAGUCUCCAGGUGCCUUCAGGGGCCAACCAAGAUGGAGCUCCUUAUAGACCCAUGCAAUGUCAGAACUGGAAAACUUAGAAAUCUUUCAGUCCACCCAUCAUUUUAUGGGUGGCAAACUGAGAUCCAGAGAAUGCUCAAAUCUCAUAAUUAGCUAUGAAAGGUUAUGAUUAAAAUGCAAAUUUGGGGCCUCCAAUUUGGUCCUCUUUUCACUCUCCUUCUUGCUGGGGAAAGAACAGUGAUUCCUUGAUUGGCAGAGCAGAAAAUAUCUUCAGUUUUUAGGAUGACUUUAUUCCCCUAAAGAGUAUCUUUGUCACAUCUCCUCCUUGUCCAUUUUUAGAGACUCUACAGUGUUUAGCUACUGGUAGAUUUGUUCUAGUGGAUCUGGUACAAAUCUUAUAGAAAUAUCUACAAUUAUUCCAUGUUAUUCUGAAAUUAUUCAUACAGCAUUUCUUCUGUUUUAUUAGCCAUUUUUAAGGGAGAAGGAACCUAAGAUUAAUUGCUAUGGCUACAUGUCAUGCUCACCAAUGAACUCACCUCAUUUUAAUCCUCAUGAUCUAUUAUAGUAGGAAUGCUUGUUGUACAUAAGUAUUCAGGAUUACUGAAUCCACUUGAAUUUUUUGAGGACAGUGGCCAAAUACAAUUCUGUGGUCAAUUUAGGCUGCUCCUACUGUUCCCUGAUGUUAGGCAUUUUCUUCCACUAGGUCCUCUGGAAGGAUGAAAAACAAGGCAUUAUUAUACUUUUGAAUAAAAAUGGUUUGCCAAACAGAUUAUGUUUGUAGUUUGUGCUGUUGAACAGAAAUAAUAAAGAACUCUACUUGAAGUCUGAAACAAAUUCAGGAAAAAAUUAAAGGCAGUUUUAUUUUACAUAGUAGGGAGUAGAUUUUAGGAACUCCUUGCUCCUGGGGUAGAGCAUAUGAAUGUGUAUUCUAGAGAGAUUCAGACAAAUUCACUUAUGUUAGACAAAUGACUUUAAGGGAAACUAGGAAUGUUUUCAGGGCACAUAACCUUGUAUUUAAAAGAUACUGUUAUUAGAUCAUUUUUUCUCAUUAUAAAAAUAUGUUUUCAUUGAAGAAGAAAUUGUGGUUUACAUACAAUUAUAAAAAGAA